Molecule: ribosomal RNA, 557 nt
Filed under: uncultured Phyllobacterium sp.
Lineage: Bacteria; Pseudomonadati; Pseudomonadota; Alphaproteobacteria; Hyphomicrobiales; Phyllobacteriaceae
Description: bacterial SSU rRNA
Rfam family: Bacterial small subunit ribosomal RNA
Source: RNAcentral
ACGGGUGAGUAACGCGUGGGAAUCUACCCAUCUCUACGGAAUAACGCAUGGAAACGUGUGCUAAUACCGUAUACGUCCUUCGGGAGAAAGAUUUAUCGGAGAUGGAUGAGCCCGCGUUGGAUUAGCUAGUUGGUGGGGUAAAGGCCUACCAAGGCGACGAUCCAUAGCUGGUCUGAGAGGAUGAUCAGCCACACUGGGACUGAGACACGGCCCAGACUCCUACGGGAGGCAGCAGUGGGGAAUAUUGGACAAUGGGCGCAAGCCUGAUCCAGCCAUGCCGCGUGAGUGAUGAAGGCCCUAGGGUUGUAAAGCUCUUUCACCGGUGAAGAUAAUGACGGUAACCGGAGAAGAAGCCCCGGCUAACUUCGUGCCAGCAGCCGCGGUAAUACGAAGGGGGCUAGCGUUGUUCGGGUUUACUGGGCGUAAAGCGCACGUAGGCGGACUAUUAAGUCAGGGGUGAAAUCCCGGGGCUCAACCCCGGAACUGCCUUUGAUACUGGUAGUCUUGAGUUCGAGAGAGGUGAGUGGAAUUCCGAGUGUAGAGGUGAAAUUCGUAGA